GAUGGUGGGUCAGGUCAUGGCUGUGCAGGGAUGCUAUGCGAACCUCGAGAACACCAUGAUAACUAUUGCCGAUGGACCACGUGUGAGGAGCUUCUCCAUUCCGUGGCACCGUGGAAGUAAGUCAGGCCCUACCGUCUCGUGACUGAACCCAGAGAAAGGCUGGCCAUCACGCUCAGGUACCUCGCUACAGGUGAAACAGACUAGGGCACAUCGCACAGCACAGCACAGCAGGCUCUCUGGCCACUUACAAAGUUGGCUGGAAAGGUUCAUCUGAUGCAACUGCAGUUCGAGGCACAUUUAAGGCAUAUUUCUUCAAUGAAGGUUUAGUGAGUGGUCGAGCUUUCGCCUCAGCACCUGCAAGAACAGGUGCAAAUAAAUUGUCUGCAACAGUU
Long non-coding RNA from Ornithodoros turicata, 392 nucleotides. RefSeq lists it as uncharacterized. NCBI's taxonomy places the organism in Eukaryota, Metazoa, Arthropoda, Arachnida, Ixodida, Argasidae. The record is from RefSeq and is a predicted model, not a curated record. The transcript has 2 exons.